CCCUCCCAUCUAUGGCCCUGGACUUGACCAGACGCUCGCGGGGACUCCCUCUGGGUGCAGGUGCUGGCUCGGGAGAGCAGCAGUGGGCCCCCUGGUCCCCUCCGUCUCUCACGGACAGCGAGGCUGAGGCCUCAUUCCCCGAGAAACAAGCACAUCUCCCCUCAUGGAGCCACCAUCGGUGCCAAGAUGGCUGCUCCCCCCAGAAGGGUGACAGGCACUGCCUCCUCCUGAGACAAGGCAGUGCUGAGAGCCCUGAGCUGCAGGCAGACACCCACACAGCACAUCUGUGUGAGGGCAGGGGACUGGCCCGGUCAGUUUCCCAGCUCCGACCUUGCUUGCAUGAAUCUGUAGUGUUGGUGCCCAGCCCAGAUCCUCUCCUCUGAAGAACACCUCCGUCCUCCACUGCCCUGACAGAGGACCCUCCCCGCUGCCUCCUGUCGGACGGGCCUUCUCUCCACCUCGCCUGCAACUCCUGUGCUCAGCACAGACGGGCAGCCCUGAGGCGGGCCGCGGCCUGGGCCCCGGCUGGGCUCCGAGGCCCUGCAGACGCAGCCGCCUGGAGAAAGAAGGCUCGCAUGUGCAGAGGCUGACGGGCACGUGGAGGCUCAACCACGAUUCUAAAAGAUGGAGAGAGGCCCGGGCCCAUUGCAUUCACUUUGCAAAGGCCAAGGGCAAAACUGAGUCAGAUACUGAGGUUAAUGAGCAAAUACUAGUAAGCUUUGCUGAGUGCAGGGCGAGCUCAA
Long non-coding RNA from Myotis lucifugus (little brown bat), 743 nucleotides. RefSeq lists it as uncharacterized. NCBI's taxonomy places the organism in Eukaryota, Metazoa, Chordata, Mammalia, Chiroptera, Vespertilionidae. The transcript is spliced from 3 exons. The record is from RefSeq and is a predicted model, not a curated record.